GAAUUUGUUGUUGUGUAUUCUAAAAAAAUUAUCGCAGCGUUCGCUGGCAGCUAUUUUGACAGAAACAAUUAAUUAAUUAUUUUACUUAUAUUCCUUAAGUGGUUUUUCUCACUUUUACAAGAAAUCAAAAAAAAAAAAUCAUUAAAGUGGUACAUUAUAAAAAUUAGCUUGGUUUAUGGAAACAAGGAAUUUCGUUUUGACCGUCUUGAGAGUUCAUGUUGAUGUGGAAUACUUCAAUAAAAAUAUAUUUUUUAAAGAAACUUUGGCUAAAAUACCUUAUGAACUUUCAAACACGCCCAAUUAUAAUCAUUAAGUGUAGAGGAUUAUGUUAGACACAUUAACAAACUGGCGUUGCGAUUGAAAAUUAUGGUGAAGUUAUUUUAGCUCUUGUUUACAAGCGGAUAUAUGAAGACCAAUUUUUCGUAAGGAAAAAACCCUUUUAUAAAAAAUGUUUUCGAAAUGUCUAAAAUCAUUAAAUGAUCGAGAACGGCACGAGUAUAUACUCAGGUCAUUUGUUUUAAAUAAAAAACAUGUAGAAUGUCGAAAGCAUAAACGUGAUAUCGACAUCAUAAGAGAACAUCAUCGUUUCCUAUGGAGUGAUAACGAAAAAGAAGUGAACGCAUCAGCAAAUGAAAGUUGGGAAGUACGUUUAGCACGACGCUAUUACGACAAGCUUUUCAAAGAAUAUUGUAUAGCGGAACUUUCAAGAUAUAAAGAGAAUAAAAUUGCAUUGAGAUGGCGUACUGAAGCAGAAGUUGUUGCAGGCAUCGGUCAGUUUCAGUGUGGCAGUCGUAAAUGCAGCACGCGUGAUGGCUUGCGUACUUGGGAGGUGAAUUUCGUAUACCAAGAGCAAGGUGAUCGUAAAAAUGCUUUAGUCAAACUAAGGUUAUGCUCAGAACAUUCAGUGCAACUGAAUUACAGAUCGAAAAAGCGUGAAAUCAAACGACUCAAAAAUGGGGAAUGUUUUAAAUGUCCCGCUAUGCAACCAAACUUAGGAAAAUCUAAAAGUUCAAAGAAUGAAAUUAGUGCAACUUGCUUUGAGGGUAAAGGACUGAAUGAUACAAAUGACAUAUCUUAUUUGGAAACGAGUUCCUACGACGCAGAGUACGGGAAGACGCAAAAUGAAAAUGUUACCAAUCUAACUGAUAACGUCUGGAAUGAUAAACUAAACGUUGAAAGUGAGACUAUAUCGCGGGAAACUGAAUUUGAGCGUUACCUGGAAGAUUUACUUUUAUAAUAUACUUUAUGUAUUAUCGCUAUUAGAUGUUGCUUCUGUACUAUGAGUGUGUGACAAGAUCCAACCACUUUUUGUAGCUGUCCAAUCUUUGCGGGCUGUGAUCCGAAAUUACCAAAAAUUGUGCCAAAAGAAUGUGCCGUUAAAAUUUUUAAAAUGACGCUUAAUGAUUUUAAAUAACGCGAUCGUGAAGAAGAGGAUUAAAGGUAUUGUUUCGUUUAUGGUUGGAGGGUGAGGAAUAUAUUUAUUUUGUCAAAACGUUUGUGACGCCCAGAGAGAAACUUCAGUGACCCCACAGAGUAUUUAUAUUUUAAAUCAGCAUCAAGUACUAUUUAAAAAACUAAGUAUGUCUUUCGAUAAAAAAUCAAUUCCAUAAUUUACGUGAAUAAUUUCUACGCUGGUGAGUGAAGACAUGGUACACUCCCUAUAUUAUUUCCAUACAAAUUCGCAGUUUGAAAGGUUCUUUAUCGGAUACGACACUAUUCGGAACAAGGAAACGGGUGCCAUAAUGGAAGUUUGUGGUAAUAUUAUAUAGACACUUAUCGUCAUUCCCAAGAAUUAUUUUCUUAUUUAUUUUUUUUAUAUUGUAUAGCCACUUAUCGUCAUUCCCAAGAAUUAUUUUCUUAUUUAUAUUUCUUCAUGGUUUAUGGCAACAGGUAAAACCAAUGAAAAUAAUUACAUGUUUCUAUUAGUUUUGCCGACAUAUUGGAAUCUCUGAGAUUAGAUAGUUUUUCUAUGUGCACUAAUUCUAUAAAAUAUGUAUUUUAUAACUAUAUUUUACUUUAUUAUCGCUUCGAAUUAUGAAGUAAGUUUGUUUUCGAGGAAAAAUACGAAAUUUCGAUAUCGAGCAAAGUUCGUACGCUUCCAUCAGUCCACAGUUACUUUAACUUUUUAGACGGUCCUCUUACAUUUUGUUUCUGGAUAGUAGGAACAACCGCUUGAUCGCCAGCAUUUCUACCCCAUUUCGUGUUCUCGAAAGACUAGAGUAAGGUUCGGUUAUGGUUAUCGUGCAGGCCGUGCAGUUAAAUCGUUGUGCUGAUGGCUUUUACAAAGGUGAUCUUUUGAACUGUUAAAUUCAGGGUUAUUUCCAAUAAAAAAACAGGAAAUAAUAAUAGAAUUCAGAACAGAAUUUCGAAAGAUUAAGUACGUAAGUUAAAUAAAUGGAUGUUAAGUAUAUGAGUACUUGAGUACAACUGGUGUUAUUCUUAAUUACUUGUUAAAAAGUGAAGUGUGUUUGAUUAAAGAAAUUUUGUUUAUGCUUAUUAAUUGUUGUGUCGGAACGUUUUCGACAUUUGAAAAUACAAGACAGGUAGGAGUCAAAUCAAUUAAGGAAAUCGAACCGAUAAAGUCUAACUUGAUAAAUUUGUGAUCAGAGAGGAAAUUUAAUAAAACUUUUGUUUACGUGUAUGAUACAUUGAGUAGCGUCGAGGAUACUUUUUUUCAGCAUAGUCUUUUGUUGGUUAAUACGUCUUUUAAUUUUUUGAUUUAUCAUUUAGUCUUUUAAUUAAUUAAUUAGAACUAUUUUAUAUAAAUUGAUAGCGUUAUCCUUUUUUCUCUUAUUUUAUUUAGGUUCCUAAUAAUUACGAAAACAUGUCUCGUCAAUUAUUUUAAAUGUAGUUUUCUAUAUAAUCUCGAACCUUUUUAUAACUGCCAAGAAAACAACCAAAAUAGGACAUAGCAAACACUAUAGCCGGGCGUUUUCCCUUUGCAAAAGUGAGUGAACUGUUUCUCGAUAUAAGAACUUCUUUUGUGAUGAUACCACCGUGCUUUUGUUAUGAUUCGGCGGCUUCUGUUAUAGUUCGCUUAUCUCAUUUAGCUCGUCCAUCUGGGAUAUAAGGCGUAGAUGGUGUCACGAUUUGAGUUUGGGUGUUGGCGGCUAGCUCGCCGCUAUUAUAUUUAUAUUAUUAUUAUAUUAUUAUAUUUAUUUAUUAUUUUUCCUUUCCGUGUUCUACACCUAAACUGUCCAACGUUCGUAUGUACGAAACGAUCACUGCACAGUUUACCUAACCAAUACCAAUAACCUCUUUUUUCUUUUCAAUUCAUUACAUAAAUAGCGGAACACAUAUAUAUAAACAAUUAUCUGUCUUGUAUUUGCAGCAGUUGUAGCGAUGUUCUUUUCUUCUCUCCUUAGACAUCCCAGCAUGUCACUGCUUCAUUUGGUGCAUUUCUUAUUUCACUCAAUAUAAUGGAAAAUAUAAGUAGCUUUUCAUUUUGAUUUUUUAAACAACAACUUUAUCUAUUGUGCUCUUUAUUUUUUCUUUAUAAACUUUGACAUUUAUUUGCAACAUGGAUCUGUAUUGGUUGUAGGUAUGCUUCUAUGCUAGCUGUGUACAUACCUUUUUUUGUUUUUUUUUCUUUCUUAUUUAUAUAUGAAUUGUUAUUUAUUAUUAUAUUUUUUUUUACUUCUCCUUGUAUACUUUAUACCAGUUUGUAAUAAUAAUUAUUAUAAGAUUUACUUCGAGGAGUCGAUUGAAUUUGACUGUUGAUUUACUUUAGUCGAGUUUAAUGUAUAAGCAAGUAAAAAAAAAACUGAAUAAUUUGUUUUGUUUCUGAAGAUAGGAAUAUUUCCUAAAAACUUAAAGAUAUCGAAAUAGUUCUGUUGUUGAUUUAUGCUGGGCAUUUUCUUUCUUUUUUUUAAGUAGGAGUUGCUCCUUCGUUUUAAAAACAUUCGCGGAUGUUGACGAAGCUGCUUCAAUUAUAUACUGGAAUCAAUAGAUAAAUGUUAAGUAUUUCAUUGUUAAGCACAUAACCCAUUCUCUGCGCGUUCCUUGUUGCCAAAAUUGCGAUAUGAAAAAAAUUUGCCUUCUUUUUUUAUUAUUAUUAUUCACUCAUUUUCUGUAGUUUAUUUUAGUAAGGACCGUGUCCUAAGUACCUCAUCAGCAGUACAUAUUGCUUUUCUAUGUUGCAUUUGUUGACUAUAAGUCUUCUACAAUGAGUACCCUCUCUACCUUGAUGAUUUUAAAGAUCACUACUGUUAAGGCAAAUGCCCUUCUUUGUAGAGUAGAAUGUCUUAUCUGAUAGCAACCAACAAAUGAUGAGUCGUGCCAAUCACGACUCGUCAUCAACGUCCGACGUGGACACGAAGAACAAAUGUGGGUAGAUUGUUUGCACAAUCUAUUCAAUAGACAAAACGGUCAAAGUGGGGGCCUAAUUGGUUGGCAAAAUUCGGCAAGACGAUGCGUCAAGCCGUACCAACUUAUUGAUAUAUUUCUUCCAGCACUUGGAACUGGAAGAAACGCUAAAAUAACAAGUGAUCAAUGUGAAUGCAGAAAAGAUAAUUUUAUUGAUUAAAAAAAUGACUUAUAAACUACAAUUCUUAUAAACUAAUUAAGAAUUAUGUUGCUAAAA
Glossina fuscipes is the source of this 4582-nucleotide RNA transcript. It is a transcript of the gene named protein FRA10AC1, with no coding region annotated. Lineage: Eukaryota; Metazoa; Arthropoda; Insecta; Diptera; Glossinidae. The transcript is spliced from 5 exons. The record is from RefSeq and is a predicted model, not a curated record.